Molecule: long non-coding RNA, 11592 nt
Filed under: Triticum aestivum (bread wheat)
Lineage: Eukaryota; Viridiplantae; Streptophyta; Magnoliopsida; Poales; Poaceae
Description: long non-coding RNA (TAES_LNC004997)
Source: RNAcentral
CGACCCUGCGGCGCCGGCGACCAAGGCCCAGGUCGCCAUCUCCGAGGGCUUCUACCACUACGGCAUCAGGUUGGACAAGGGGUUCAACCUGCCCAUGGAUCUCACGUGCAGCUCCGGCGACGCGCUCCGGUGCCGGGAGGACGGGUGCCACGACGCGUUCCCAUACGUGAAGUACAACGACCACUCAUGCACCACCGCCGGCAGCCGGCUCCAGAUCGUCUUCUGCCCAUGAUGAGCUAGCUAGCUAGCGGCAGAACGUAAACAUAUAACCUACAAUAUACUACAUGUAGUAGUACAUACUCAGACGUGUCAUGUAUUCUCAGCGGUACGUACGUACACGUAUGAACACACGUGCGAGUUUCCAAUAAAAUUGCCAUGUGUGAUGUGCCUUUGAUAUAUUGUUCUUUUUUAUCGAAUGCUUUUGAUAUAUUGUUCUUUUUUAUUGAAUGCCUUUGAUAUAUUGUUUACGGGAAUUUACACACAAAAGAACGUGAAUUUGAACAAGAUAGCCUACAAAUAUGUAUGUUUUUCCACACACACAAAAUAUAUGUAUGUUCUAACAUUGGGACUUAGCUUGAAUAUUUUUUUUCGAGGGGUGGGACUCAGGUUGAUGGUCAGGGUCUCAAAUGGCAUGGCCACGAUUUUUAGAGAGGUUGAGCCAGGAUAUGUUAUUGGGGCAUGAUACCAGCUUUUUUUCCAACCGGGCUCACAACCCCUUUCCAUUAAUUUUGCAAUCAACGGAAAUACAUCAGUCUGGUUUCAAGUUCUGUAUCGAGCAUCCACUUGCUAAAGAUAACUAGACUGAAAGAUAGAACUAACCGCAAGCAAAAUGAGACUGAAAGAGGAGAGCAGGUUGGUGCAUCAUCAGGAAACCCAUCGUCGGACAAUCCUGGAACGGACCAUCCGCCGUGGCGCGAAAACCUGAUGACACUUACAAGCAACUGCCCAACCAAAAUACCCAAGGUUCCGAGGAUGAAACUGCCAGUAAGCCUCUACGACUAGGCGAAGCACAACCAGGAAGCACAAUUGCCAGCGGGCAUCAAACCCCAGUGGACAACAGAACGCAAAAGGAAAGAUCCAAGCGCCAAUUUCAUCUAACCAAUCUGGAUCCCAUCUCUGUCUCCCAAGAGAAGUCGCCACGAGGGAAGGACCUGUCCGCCAGCGCAGCAGCCGCGUGAGCUAACCUCUUCACUCCAGCUUGGAACUUCACCUUCUCAUCCUCCUUAAGCAGACCUCACUAGUAGAAAAAGGGUCAAACGUGAAGCACAUUAGUGCCGGUUUGUAUUUGAGCCGGUACUAAUGGUACCAUUAGUGCCGGUUCGAACGGAUUUGCAUUAAUGCCGGUUCGUGUUGAACCUUUAAUACCGGUUCGUGGCACGAACCGGUACUAAAGGGGUGGUGGCAGGCUGGCGUCAGGCCGGGGCCCCACGAUCACCUUUAGUACCGGUUCGUGGCACGAACCGGUACUAAAGGGGUCUGACCUAUAGUACCGGUUGGAGACACAAACCGGCACUAUAGGGCAAUUUUCAAACUUGAAAAAAUCAUAACUAAAUCAUCGUAAUUCAGUAAAAUACAUAUAAUAUAUCAAAAUAUGCAGACUUUUAAGGAAGAAAUUAGGAAGGCUAUACAGGGAAAAUGCGUGAAGGUUCUCGCAGAGUGUGUUCCUUUAAUCUCACCAACCAGUUAGCUUAGGAUGUGCGAAUCAAUCUGUGGUUGGACGGUUAGAGGGACAGUAGUAUCCACAGCCCAUCAGGGUUUAAGUCCUGGUUCUCACAUUAUUCCUGGAUUUAUUUUAGGAUUUCUGGCGUUGUGCUUUCAGCGGGAGGAGACGUUCCUGUCGACAACGAGGCGCCUACGGUGACUUUGUAAAUGUCAAGAUGAUAUACUGGCUAGGUCUCUCGUAGGUGCUCAUAGGGGUAGGAAUGUGCAUGUGUGCAUUCAUAGGGGUGAGCGUAUGUGCGUAUGUUUGAGCACUUGCGUCUAUACUAUGCUAAAAAAUAGAUAGCUCGGAAUGUGUGUUAUGCUAUAUGUAUAUAACCUAGUUUCCGCUGUAAAGGGCCCGUGCGUUGCAAUGUGAAAACCCGCGAAAGUUGACCUCGGUACCAAUUGGCAGGAUCUCACAGACCUGCGAGGGCCCCACUUGCCACCCUUCCUUCCCACCGACACGGAUCCUGCAAGUAUACUCUUCAUCCACGUGUUGUGUGGCUCAAACAUGGACGAAAAUACACAGUAAUCGUGCAUGCUUGUCGUCCUGAAUGAAGAUACAUAAAUUUACAGAAUAUUUUUAAUACAGGUUGAAUUUUUUUGAAGUACACGUUGUCAAUUUUUUGAAUGCAUGACGAACAUAUUUCGAAAACACGUUUGCAGUUUUUUAAUACAUGUGAAACAUUUUUGGAAAACAUGUUUACAAUUUUAUAAUAUACAGGAGGUGCUCUUCGGUCUAGCUGAAGCCGAAGAGGUGCUCUUCGGUCUAACUUAGGCCGAAGACAGGUCUUCGGUGUACUGUAGACUGAAGAGCUCCGAAGCCGGGCUGAAAAGAACUCUUCGGUCUACGCUUGGCCGAUGAGUGCACUUCGGUUUAAGCCAAGCCGAAGUGUCCUCUGAGGCCCACCUCUUCCCGUGAACUGCAGACCGAAGUUGCAUGGCACCACACUUCGGUUUACACUUGGCUGAAGAGGACCUCUUCGGUUUAUACUAGGCUGAAGAGUGACCUUUUCCCGCCAAGCCUUUUCCGCCAUCUGUAAUGUAUCUUUCCCUCCAUUCGUUCACGCCAUUUUCUUUCCCUCCACUGUUUCCUUCCAUCCUCUUUCCCGCCCAAUUUUCCUGCCAACCCCUUACCCUCAUUCUAUAAAACCAGACCCCUUGCCUGUUGUUUUCUGCAUCUUUCCUUACCAAUAUUUUCAGUCAUGUCCGACGACAAUUCCGGCGGUUUUACUCCACUAAUGUCUCAUUUUCCCUUGUGCAAUGCCUCAAGAAUGCAUAGGCCUAGUAUGGGGUGUGUGUGGAGGAAAUAUACCCUAGAGGCAAUAAUAAAGUUAUUAUUUAUUUCCUUAUUUCAUGAUAAAUGUUUAUUAUUCAUGCUAGAAUUGUAUUAACCGGAAACAUAAUACAUGUGUGAAUACAUAGACAAACAAAGUGUCACUAGUAUGCCUCUACUUGACUAGCUCGUUGGUCAAAGAUGGUUAUGUUUCCUAACCAUAGACACGAGUUGUCAUUUGAUUAACGGGAUCACAUCAUUAGGAGAAUGAUGUGAUUGACUUGACCCAUUCCGUUAGCUUAGCACACGAUCGUUUAGUAUGUUGCUAUUGCUUUCUUCAUGACUUAUACAUGUUCCUAUGACUAUGAGAUUAUGCAACUCACAUUUACCAGAGGAACACUUUGUGUGCUACCAAACGUCACAACGUAACUGGGUGAUUAUAAAGGUGCUCUGCAAGUGUCUCUGAAGUUACUUGUUGGGUUGGCGUAUUUCGAGAUUAGGAUUUGUCACUUCGAUUGUCGGAGAGGUAUCUCUGGGUCCUCUUGGUAAUGCACAUCACUUAAGCCUUGCAAGCAAUGCAACUAAUGAGUUAGUUGCGGGAUGAUGUAUUACGGAACGAGUAAAGAGACUUGCCAGUAACGAGAUUGAACUAGGUAUUGAGAUACCGACGAUCGAAUCUCGGGCAAGUAACAUAUCGAUGACAAAGGGAACAACGUAUGUUAUGCAGUCUGAUCGAUAAAGAUCUUCGUAGAAUAUGUAGGAGCCAAUAUGAGCAUCCAGGUUCCGCUAUUGGUUAUUGACUGGAGACAUGUCUCGGUCAUGUCUACAUUGUUCUCGAACCCGUAGGGUCCGCACGCUUAAGUUUUCGAUGACAGUUAUAUUAUGAGUUUAUAAGUUUUGAUGUACCGAAGGAGUUCGGAGUCCCGGAUGAGAUCGAGGACAUGACGAGGAGUCUCGAAAUGGUCGAGACAUAAAGAUCGAUAUAUUGGACGACCAUAUUCGGACAUCGGAAAGGUUCCGAGUGAUUCGGGUAUUUUUCGGCCUACCGAAGAGUUACGGGAAUUCGUCGGGGAGUAUAUGGGCCUUAUUGGGCCAUACGGGAAUAGAGGAGAGAGGCCAAAAGGAAGGAGGCCCCCCCUCUGGUCCGAAUUGGACAAGGGGUGCAACAACAACAUACAACUAUCUAGAUAAUGCAUUUAAAUGCAACAAUAAAUGUGAUCAAAAUUGCAACUAAGGUAAUAAUUGAUCCAAUAGCAUAAUGAUACCAAGCCUAUUUAUUAGCGGCAUAUUUUCUAAACUUUCUAAUCUUCAAGCGCAUUGCAUCCAUCUUGAUCUUUGGAUCAUCGACGACAACAGCAACAUACAAAUCCAAUUUCAUCUUCUCUUCUCAAUUCUUUUUAAUUUUUCUUUCAAAUACUCAUUUUCUUUUUCUACUAAAUUUAACUUCUCGACAAGAGGGUCGGUGGCAAUUUCUGGUUCACAUACCUCCUAGAUAAAAAUAUAUAUGUCAGCUUGAUGGGCAUAAUUGUCAUAAACACGAAAUGCAACAAAUAGUUAUAAAAGAUAUUAUACCACAUCCGAAUCAUAAAUCGGACAAGGGCCGUCGGCGAAGGAUAUCAAAACCAUGGCACUACGUAUAACAAACAAUCAUACAAGUAAGAAAAUUAUACAAGCAACUAUCUAAAUCAUAGAAAUAAGAUUUCUUUGCACAAAAAGGAUAAGAACAAGAGCCUCACCAAGGAGGUGUCGGCGACGGGACGGCGCGGGCGACCGAUGGCGGUGAGGACGGGAAGGCAGUAGUUAAACCACACCUACACAUAUGGAAACUAAGAAGUUAAUUUGAGCUCAAAUUACAUAUAAAUCAAAUAAACUCCCACAUAAUUACUCCCAAACCAAAACCCACAAAUGACUAUACUUAUACAGCAUGAAACAAGCUAAACUAGCAAUGAGAGAGGAAAGGACAAAGUUACUAACCUUUUAAACACUUAGAUAGAUGGGGUGCCUCAAAUCUUAACAAAUCUUGGCAGUUAGAUGACACCACUACACUACACACGGUAGGAGUGAUCUUGAACGAAACACAAGGGAAAAAAGUCGGACCCGACAAAGGUCGUCCAGGUAGGUAGCCAUCUUUGAAUUGAAUGAGUGUUCUCCAAAGUAGCUAUCUCGGUGAGAUGAUCGACAUCUUCAUCACGAACCCUAUAUAAACGCCAAGCUCCAUGAGCUCAGUCCCAGCACACACACACCCAUAGUUCCACCUAAUAUAAUGGCCGGAAGCGCGAGCGCCACUCUGGUCCUCCUCGUCGUCGUGGUCGCGGCCCUCGCCGUGGGGGCCAGCGCGACAUCGACGCUGACGCCGCUCAGCAUCACCAACCGGUGCUCCUUCACGGUAUGGCCGGCGGUGGCCUCCGCAGGCCUCGGCACGGAGCUCCAUCCGGGAGCCAACUGGACCGUGGACGCGUCGGCGAUCCACUACACCGCGGACAUAUGGGGGCGCACGGGCUGCUCCUUCGACGCGGCAGGCAGGGGACGGUGCCAGACGGUGGACUGCGGCAGCGGGCUACGGUGCCGGAGCAACGACCCUGCGGCGCCGACGACCAAGGCCCAGGUCGCCAUCUCCGAGGGCUUCUACCACUACGGCAUCAUGUUGGACAAGGGGUUCAACCUGCCCAUGGAUCUCACGUGCAGCUCCGGCGACGCGCUCCGGUGCCGGGAGGACGGGUGCCACGACGCGUUCCCGUACGUGAAGUACAACGACCACUCAUGCACCGCCGCCGGCAGCCGGCUCCAAAUCAUCUUCUGCCCAUGAUGAGCUAGCUAGCGGCAGAAUGUAAACAUAUAACCUACACAUAUACUACGUGUAGUAGUACAUACUCAGACGUGUCAUGUAUUCUCAGCGGUACGUACGUACACGUAUGAACGCACGUGCGAGUUUCCAAUAAAAUUGCCAUGUGUGAUGUGCCUUUGAUAUAUUGUUCUUUUUUAUCGAAUGCCUUUGAUAUAUUGUUCUUUUUUAUUGAAUGCCUUUGAUAUAUUGUUUACGGGAAUUUACACACAAAAGAACGUGAAUUUGAACAAGAUAGCCUACAAAUAUGUAUGUUUUUCCACACACAAAAAAUAUAUGUAUGUUCUAACAUUGGGACUCAGCUUGAUUUUUUUUUCGAGGGGUGGGACUCAGGUUGAUGGUCAGGGUCUCAACUGGCAUGGCCACGAUUUUUAUAGAGAUUGAGCCAGGAUAUGUGAUUGGGGCAUGAUACCAGCUUUUUUUCCAACCGGGCUCACAACCCCUUUCCAUUAAUUUUGCAAUCAACGGAAAUACAUCAGUCUGGUUUCAAGUUCUAUAUCGAGCAUCCACUUGCUAAAGAUAACUAGACUGAAAGAUAGAACUGACCGCAAGCAAAAUGAGACUGAAAGAGGAGAGCAGGUUGGUGCAUCAUCAGGAAACCCAUCGUCGGACAAUCCUGGAACGGACCAUCCGUCGUGGCGCGAAAACCUGAUGACACUUACAAGCAACUGCCCAACCAAAAUACCCAAGGUUCCCAGGAUGAAAUUGCCAGUAAGCCUCUACGACUAGGCGAACCACAACCAGGAAGCACAAUUACCAGCGGGCAUCAAACCCCAGUGGACAACAGAACGCAAAAGGAAAGAUCCAAGCGCCGAUUUCAUCUAACCAAUCUGGAUCCCAUCUCUGUCUCCCAAGAGAAGUCUGCCACGAGGGAAGGACCUGUCCGCCAGCGCAGCAGCCGCGUGAGCUAACCUCUUCACUCCAUCUUGGAACUUCACCUUCUCAUCCUCCUUAAGCAGACCUCACUAGUAGAAAAAGGGUCAAACGUGAAGCACAUUAGUGCCGGUUUGUAUUUGAGCCGGUACUAAUGGUACCAUUAGUGCCGGUUCGAACGGAUUUGCAUUAAUGCCGGUUCGUGUUGAACCUUUAGUACCGGUUCGUGGCACGAACUGGUACUAAAGGGGUGGUGGCAGGCUGGCGUCAGGCCGGGGCCCCACGAUCACCUUCAGUACGGGUUCGUGGCACGAACCGGUACUAAAGGUCUAACCUUUAGUACCGGUUCGUGCCAUGAACCGGUACUAAAGGGGUCUGACCUAUAGUACCGGUUGGAGACACAAACCGGCACUAUAGGGCAAUUUUCAAACUUGAAAAAAUCAUAACUAAAUCAUCGUAAUUCAGAAAAAUACAUAUAAUAUAUCAAAAUAUGCAGACUUUUAAGAAAGAAAUUAGGAAGGCUAUACAGGGAAAAUGCGUGAAGGUUCUCGCAGAGUGUGUUCCUUUAAUCUCACCAACCAGUUAGCUUAGGAUGUGCGAAUCAACCUGUGGUUGGACGGUUAGAGGGACAAUAGUAUCCACAACCCAUCAUGGUUUAAGUCCUGGUGCUCACAUUAUUCCUGGAUUUAUUUUAGGAUUUCUGGCGUUGUGCUUUCAGCGGGAGGAGACGUUCCUGUCGACAACGAGGCGCCUACGGUAACUUUGUAAAUGUCAAGAUGAUAUACUGGCUAGGUCUCUCGUAGGUGCUCAUAGGGGUAGGAAUGUGCAUGUGUGCAUUCAUAGGGGUGAGCGUAUGUGCGUAUGUUUGAGCACUUGCGUCUAUACUAUGCUAAAAACAGAUAGCUCGGAAUGUGUGUUAUGCUAUAUGUAUAUAACCUAGUUUCCGCUGUAAAGGGCCCGUGCGUUGCAAUAUGAAAACCCGCGAAAGUUGACCUCGGUACCAAUUGGCAGGAUCUCACAGACCUGCGAGGGCCCCACUUGCCACCCUUCCUUCCCACCGACACGGAGCCUCCAAGUAUACUCUUCAUCCACGUGUUGUGUGGCUGAGACAUGGACAAAAAUACACAGUAAUCGUGCAUUCUUGUCGUCCUGAAUGAAGAUACAUAAAUUUACAGAAUAUUUUUAAUACAGGUUGAAUUUUUUUGAAGUACACGUUGUCAAUUUUUUGAAUGCAUGACGAACAUAUUUCGAAAACACGUUUGCAGUUUUUUAAUACAUGUGAAACAUUUUUGGAAAACAUGUUUACAAUUUUAUAAUAUACAGGAGGUGCUCUUCGGUCUAGCUGAAGCCGAAGAGGUGCUCUUCGAUCUAACUUAGGCCGAAGACAGGUCUUCGGUGUACUGUAGACUGAAGAGCUCCGAAGUCGGGCCAAAAAGAACUCUUCGGUCUACGCUUGGCUGAAGAAUGCACUUCGGUUUAAGCCAAGCCGAAGUGUCCUCUGAGGCCCACCUCUUCGCGUGAACUGCAGACCGAAGUUGCAUGGCAGCACACUUCGGUUUACACUUGGCUGAAGAGGACCUCUUUGGUUUAUACUAGGCUGAAGAGUGACCUUUUCCCGCCAAGCCUUUUCCGCCAUCUGUAAUGUAUCUUUCCCUCCAUUUGUUCACGCCAUUUUCUUUCCCUCCACUGUUUCCUUCCAUCCUCUUUCCUGCCCAGUUUUCCUGCCAACCCCUUACCGUCAUUCUAUAAAACCAGACCUCUUGCCUGUUGUUUUCUGAAUCUUUCCUUAGCAAUAUUUUCAGUCAUGUCCGACGACAAUUCCGGCGGUUUUACUCCACUAAUGUCUCAUUUGCCCUUGUGCAAUGCCUCAAGAAUGCAUAGGCCUAGUAUGGGGGGUGUGUGAAGGAAAUAUACCCUAGAGGCAAUAAUAAAGUUAUUAUUUAUUUCCUUAUUUCAUGAUUAAUAUUUAUUAUUCAUGCUAGAAUUGUAUUAACCGGAAACAUAAUACAUGUGUGAAUACAUAGACAAACAAAGUGUCACCAGUAUGCCUCUACUUGACUAGCUCGUUGGUCAAAGAUGGUUAUGUUUCCUAACCAUAGACACGAGUUGUCAUUUGAUUAACGGGAUCACAUCAUUAGGAGAAUGAUGUGAUUGACUUGACCCAUUCCGUUAGCUUAGCACACGAUCGUUUAGUAUGUUGCUAUUGCUUUCUUCAUGAAUUAUACAUGUUCCUAUGACUAUGAGAUUAUGCAACUCCCAUUUACUAGAGGAACACUUUGUGUUCUACCAAACGUCACAACGUAACUGGGUGAUUAUAAAGGUGCUCUACAAGUGUCUCUGAAGGUACUUGUUGGGUUGGCGUAUUUCGAGAUUAGGAUUUGUCACUUCGAUUGUCGGAGAGGUAUCUCUGGGUCCUCUUGAUAAUGCACAUCACUUAAGCCUUGCAAGCAAUGCAACUAAUGAGUUAGUUGCGGGAUGAUGUAUUACGGAACGAGUAAAGAGACUUGCCAGUAACGAGAUUGAACUAGGUAUUGAGAUACCGACGAUCGAAUCUCGGGCAAGUAACAUACCGAUGACAAAGGGAACAACGUAUGUUGUUAUGCUGUCUGACCGAUAAAGAUCUUCGUAGAAUAUGUAGGAGCCAAUAUGAGCAUCCAGGUUCCGCUAUUGGUUAUUGACUGGAGACGUGUCUCGGUCAUGUCUACAUUGUUCUCGAACCCGUAGGGUCCGCACGCUUAAGGUUUCGAUGACAGUUAUAUUAUGAGUUUAUAAGUUUUGAUGUACCGAAGGAGUUCGGAGUCCCGGAUGAGAUCGAGGACAUGACGAGGAGUCUCGAAAUGGUCGAGACAUAAAGAUCGAUAUAUUGGACAACCAUAUUCGGACAUCGUAAAGGUUCCGCGUGAUUCGGGUAUUUUUCGGACUACCGGAGAGUUACGGGAAUUCGCCGGGGACUAUAUGGGCCUUAUUGGGCCAUACGGGAAUAGAGGAGAGAGGCCAAAAGGAAGGAGGCCCCCCUCUGGUCUGAAUUGGACAAGGGGUGCAACAACAACAUACAACUAUCUAGAUAAAGCAUUUAAAUGCAACAACAAAUGCGAUCAAAAUUGCAACUAAGGUAAUAAUUGAUCCAAUAGCAUAAUGAUACCAAGCCUAUUUAUUUGCGGCAUAUUUUCUAAACUUUCUAAUCUUCAAGCGCAUUGCAUCCAUCUUGAUCUUUGGAUCAUCGACGACAACAGCAACAUACAAAUCCAAUUUCAUCUUCUCUUUUCAAUUCUUUUUAAUUUUUCAUUCAAAUACUCAUUUUCUUUUUCAACUAAAUUUAACUUCUCGACAAGAGGGUCGGUGGCAAUUUCUGAUUCACAUACCUCCUAAAUAAAAAUAUAUAUGUUAGCUUGAUGGGCAUAAUUGUCAUAAACACAAAAUGCAACAAAUAGUUAUAAAAGAUAUUAUACCACAUCCGAAUCAUAAAUCAGACAAGGGCCGUCGGCGAAGGAUAUCAAAACCAUGGCACUACGUAUAACAAACAAUCAUACAAGUAAGAAAAUUAUACAAGCUACUAUCUAAAUCAUAGAAAUAAGAUUUCUUUGCACAAAAAGGAUAAGAACAAGAGCCUCACCAAGGAGGUGUCGGCGACGGGACGGCGCGGGCGAUCGAUGAUGGUGAGGACGGGAAGGCAGUAGUUAAACCACACCUACACAUAUGGAAACUAAGAAGUUAAUUUGAGCUCAAAUUACAUAUAAAUCAAAUAAACUCCCACAUAAUUACUCCCAAACCAAAACCCACAAAUGACUAUACUUAUACAGCAAGAAACAAGCUAAACUAGCAAUGAGAGAGGAAAGGACAAAGUUACUAACCUUUUAAACACUUGGAUAGAUGGGGUGCCUCAAAUCUUAACAAAUCUUGGCAGUUAGAUGACACCACUACACUACACACGGUAGGAGUUAUCUUGAACGAAACACAAGGGAAAAAAGUCGGACCCGACAAAGGUCGUCCAGGUAGGUAGCCAUCUUUGAAUUGAAUGAGUGUUCUCCAAAGUAGCUAGCUCGGUGAGAUGAUCGACAUCUUCAUCACGAACCCUAUACAAACGCCAAGCUCCAUGAGCUCAGUCCCAGCACACACACACACCCACAGUUCCACCUAAUAUAAUGGCCGGAAGCGCGAGCGCCACUCCGGUCCUCCUCGUCGUCGUGCUCGCGACCCUCGUCGCGGGGGCCAGCACGACAUCGACGCUGACGCCGCUCAGCAUCACCAACCGGUGCUCCUUCACGGUGUGGCCGGCGGUGGCCUCCGCAGGCCUCGGCACCGAGCUCCAUCCGGGAGCCGACUGGACCGUGGACGCGUCGGUGAUCCACUACACCGCGGACAUAUGGGGGCGCACGGGGUGCUCCUUCGACGCGGCAGGCAGGGGGCGGUGCCAGACGGCGGACUGCGGCAGCGGGCUGCGGUGCCGGAGCACCGACCUUGCGGCACCGGCGACCAAGGCCCAGGUCGCCAUCUCCGAGGGCUUCUACCACUACGGCAUCACGUUGGACAAGGAGUUCAACCUGCCCAUGGAUCUCACGUGCAGCUCCGGCGACGCGCUCCGGUGCCGGGAGGACGGGCGCCACGAUGCGUUCCCGUACGUGAAGUACAACGACCACUCGUGCACCGCCGUCGGCAGCCGGCUCCAGACCGUCUUCUGCCCAUGAUGAGCUAGCUAGCGGCAGAAUGUAAACAUAUAACCUACACAUAUACUACGUGUAGUAGUACAUACUCAGACGUGUCAUGUAUUCUCAGCGGUACGUACGUACACAUAUGAACGCACGUGCGAGUUUCCAAUAAAAUUGCCAUGUGUGAUGUGCCUUUGAUAUAUUGUUCUUUUUUAUCGAAUGCUUUUGAUAUAUUGUUCUUUUUUAUUGAAUGC